UGAAUAUGUUUCUACAUCCAAAUAAACAAAUCUUUUUUUUCCCCUGUAAAAAUGAGUGGGCAAUUAGGUGAGCAGCCAUUCUCACCACCAGAUUUGCCAAGAAGCAGUGCUUGCUGAAUAAGUGCUACGUGAUCACAAAGUUUUGUCCCCAGGUUCCUAAACAAACAGGUUGUCACUGAUUGGUAUUAUUUUAAUAAGUAAUAAGGAAGAAGGCCAGUGAAGGGCUUUUCCUUAACAGGGUUGGGAUCCCAAGGAGGACAGUGGUGGUGAAUUGGGUAAUUCUGCUUAAUUGUACAUUGGAGUGAGACAGAGGAACCUUGGGUCAGCUUCUUAACUCCUCUUCUAAAGGCAAUCAGAAUUGAGGAAAUGGGCCAAGAGCAAUACAAACUAUUCUGUAUCUUCUUUGCAUUGUAGUAUACUCAAAACUGAAACCAAUUGUGCAGUUCAGAAGUGCAGAUAAAGAAAGACACUUUUGUUUUCGUUCGUCACAAGGAAGUAAGAUGAUAGAAAUUGGAGUAUGACACUGCAGGGACAGCAAAAGUUAAGUACCAUGUUGAUUACUAUCUAAUGUGGGAGACGUGGUGAAGUAUGUAAACAUCACUAGCUAGCAGUGGGUUAGGGAACUAUAUUAAUGCUUGAGAAUGCUGAUGUGCUGUUCACUGCUGUGCUAAACAUCCAAUUUGGAAAGAAUUAAGGAAGACUGUAGCAUCAAGUGUUCAGCAGAGUAGUAGCUAAUUACUUUUUCAUGACACAAGAAGCCUAGCAGGGAAUAGUAGCUAUCUAAAACCUGUAAUCUUACAAUUUUUUCCCAGAUAGCGGACAGGCUCAACAAUCUAUUUUGGUGGCAGAAGUUUGUUGCUGGAUGUUAAAGCAAGCUCUCACAGCUAAAGUUCCUGUAAAAUUAUACCAAGAGCAUUACAUGGUUCCAUUCACAGGUUUGCUGAGGACAACAGAGCGCCUGCGGGCAACAGGUAACCUGCUGGGUAUAUGGCAAGUCCCCACAUGUUCUUUUUGCCUAUUAAAAAAUACUAAUUGA
This 1036-nucleotide long non-coding RNA is filed under the name Calidris pugnax (ruff). RNAcentral's name for it is "lncRNA (ENSCPUG00000013239.1)". Lineage: Eukaryota; Metazoa; Chordata; Aves; Charadriiformes; Scolopacidae. The record is from RNAcentral.